RNAcentral lists this long non-coding RNA (2959 nucleotides) under Monodelphis domestica (gray short-tailed opossum). Its description in RNAcentral is "lncRNA (ENSMODG00000032649.2)". The record is from RNAcentral. Lineage: Eukaryota; Metazoa; Chordata; Mammalia; Didelphimorphia; Didelphidae.
GGGAGCCAGGCAGCUACGCCGCCUCUCUUUAACUUCUCAUGGCUCAGAGGAACAGAAAACCCAAGAGGAAACUGAAGUGUUGUCCUUGCCUUUCCUCUCCCGGGCCAGAUGAGGACUGGCCGGAGCAGUGCCUUCCUUCAGAAUCAGAUGAAGAAGCAAAACUUCUUGGCCACUAUGAAAACUCUGAUGACAACAAGGAAAACUUCAGUAAGAUUAAUUACCAAAUAGAAGAAAAACCUAGAAAACUCAAUAAAGAGUGGAAGGCUCAUCUGAACAGUCAGCAUUCACAACUGUGUAAUGACAGAGAAGACAUGAUAGGUUUAGAAAGCCAUAGUCUUUUGAAGAAUGCUUCAAACAUUUCCAGCACUUCAGCUUUUAAGAAGUACAAACAAUUUAAAAACAAAAAUCUUGAGAAUGAUAUAAAAAGUAGUCCGGAGCAAAAUGAACCAACCAAAAAUGAUAAUGGCCAGAACCAAGCUUUUUCUCUUUCAUCUCUGUCUUUAUCUAUUAUGGAAAAGAAAGCAAAGGUGAAAAAAGCUUCUCAGAAAAGCAAUAGUCAAGACCAGCUGCCAGAGAAAAAUUUUGGAAAAGUUUGUAAAAGUCCCAAACUAUCAAAGAAGAGUAAAACCAAGACCAGACCAUUCCGUCAGCACUUGCAUGACCUCCCAUCACAAGACUCUUACUUAAAUGACAGUGAUGAAGAACAGAUAGCCAGCAUUUCUAAAAACAGCAAAGAUGGUAAACCCUUGUAUAAACGUAAAGGUAUUAAUUCUGCAUUAUGUUAUUUUGAAGAUAGCAUCCUAACUGGUUUUAAGAAGUGUAGGAAAUCACAUAAGGGAAUCUCUAUCAGGAAAGUACAAAGGGCUAAAACCCCUGAAACAAACAGGUAUCACCAAAGUGUCCUAGAACCUCUUCUGUCAUCAAGUCCUAUUACCCUGGAAUUAAAAAAUUAUGACUCAGAAGAGGAAUUCUCUACAGGAAGCCUGUCAGAGAAGAGGGAUUCUUUAACAGUGAAGUCAAGCACUGAAGAAAUGUGCAGCAGUUUUGAUCAUAGCCAAGAUAUUUUUUUAACACAGAGGUCUUUAUCUUCAGAGCAUGUUUCCAAUAGUUGGAACAGCUCUUUGUCUUCACCAGCUCCCAAACGGGCCAAGAAUGGAAGUAGUGAAUGGAGCGAUAAACCCACCCAUUCUCCAGAUAAUUUGUCACGGUUAUCUUCAAGUGGAGAAAUUGUCCCAAAUGGAGAAAUCAUUCCAGAUGAUACUAAUCUUUCUCAGAAUAAUUUGAAAUUCUUUGAGAAAAUCAGAAAAUAUUCAAGUACAAAAGAGAAAGCCAUUCAGACAGAGGAUUUCUUUGGUUCCUCAGGAUUAGCUACCUCAUUCCUCUUAAGAAAAGAAGUAGAUUUAUAUGAAAAACCCCUGGACUUGACUUUGCCUGGGAGAAGCAGGUCUUGGGUCAAUAGUGCUGAGAAUGUUUCCUGUGCCAUGUUGGCUGCUGGUGAUGGGGUUCACUUAAUUUCUGAAAAUGUUUCUGAGACUAUUUGUUCUGUAGAAGAUCAAACAAUAGGUUCAGGGCUAGCAACUGCUGUUCUUAGUGAAGACAGUGAGAAGUGUGUUUGCCAUCAGCUGAGAAAAUCAAAUGAGAUAAAUUAUAUUCAGACAAAACUUAAUUCAUCCUUUUUCUUUAAAAUGAAAGAUGAACCAGACACUAACAUUCCUAAAGAAUCUUUAGCAAAAUUAAAGAACCAAAUAAAAAAAUAAUUCUAUAUAGAAAUUGAACAGAAAUAGUAGACACACAGUUUUAAGGCAGUUAUAUAAUUUGCAUGUUCCUAUAUAAUAUUUUGCAUUCAAGAAAGAUGGAAUUUCUCAUUUAAUUAUAAAUGUAUAUUCUUCAUAGGUUUAAGAAAACAGGCUGAGGAGUUGACAACUUAACUUCUUUGUGAUUCUAAAGGGGAAUUUGAACCAGUGUAGAUACCUAAAACAGAGAAAGCCAAAGCCUGCUCCAAUUUUGAAUUAGAAUGUACUGUAUUAAUAUUAGUCCUUUAUAUUUCCAAGAAGUAAAAGUGAUAAUGCCCACUGGGGUUAUGUCUAUAAUACAUUAAAAAGCUGAGAUGAUAGUGGAAAAAUUAAGUCAGUCACCCAGUGUGUGGACAAGACAUCAUCAAAGAUAGAUACCUUUUGGCAACACGUAGAAAACCUGUAUGUAGUUUUGCUUGCCACAAGUUGUAUAUCAUUAAACCAAGCUUUUGUAAGCUUAGUCUCAGUGUGCUGAGCCAUAGCCAUUAAUUUUCAGUAUCAUGAGCAGUGGGGGAAAAACUCUUGUCCCCAAAUUUUCACCUGGGCAUUUAAGGGGGAGAGGGAUGUCAUUUCUGGAACAGUCAUUUACCUAAGACUAGUGGUCAGCCUGCUCAGUUUUCUUUAUUGUCCUCAAUUUAAGACGAUAUUGAAAAAAAUGUUUAAAUGAUACUCUCUAGGUAUUUAGAAUGUCUUUAAAUUGUCUUUCAUAUUUUCUAACCAAUAGAUUUAGUAGUUAUUGUAGGGAUGAUGUUGUGUAAGGAAAGGUAGGAAGUAAAAUAAUUGAAUAUACUUUAUAAUGGAGAGCUGUUUGGGGGGGUCUAAAAUAAUUUCAUGUUGUAUUUGCCUUCAAAUAUUUCCUUUUUCCUAAAUUUUCAGCCAUGAACAUUAGAAACAAUUUGAUUUUGUUCAAUUGUUCCUCCUCAAAGAUGAAAAAAGGAGGCUAAUUUUAACACCCCCAAUUUUUAGUAUGUAUGACCUGUUACGUGGGGGGGGGGGGUGUAUAUGUGUGCAUGUGUUUAGGUGUAGAAUACUGAUCUCUUCAUUCAACAUUCACCAAGUGUUAAAAGCUGGUUCCAAAGAAUAAGUUAUAACUUGAAUUAACAUUGUAUUUAAUUAAAGAGAAAAUGUGAAAUAAAGUUGUAAACUUUUUCUUAUUCUUUGACUUU